CCUACGGGGAGCUGCAGUGAGGAAUAUUGGUCAAUGGGAGGAAUCCUGAACCAGCCAUGCCGCGUGCAGGACGACGGCUCUACGAGUUGUAAACUGCUUUUGUACCGGGGUAAAAUGCUCUACGUGUAGGGUUUUGAAAGUACGGUAAGAAUAAUGAUCGGCUAACUCCGUGCCAGCAGCCGCGGUAAUACGGAGGAUGCGAGCGUUAUCCGGAUUUAUUGGGUUUAAAGGGUGGGCGGGCGGAGUUUUAAGUUCGCGGUCAAAUCGUGGGGCCAAACCCCAUCCAGCCGUUGAAACUGGGGAGCUAGAGUGUGCGAGAGGUAUGCGGAAUGCGUGGUGUAGCGGUGAAAUGCAUAGAUAUCACGCAGAACCCCGAUGGCGAAGGCAGCAUACCGGUGCACAACUGACGCUCAGGCACGAAAGCGUGGGUAUCGAACAGGAUUAGAUACCCUAGUAGUC
Molecule: ribosomal RNA, 459 nt
Filed under: uncultured bacterium
Lineage: Bacteria
Description: partial 16S ribosomal RNA
Rfam family: Bacterial small subunit ribosomal RNA
Source: RNAcentral